CAAAUAUCAUAUAAAGAUUCGAAGAUAUAAAGGAAUGUUGUAAUAACCUGCUGUAACCACUGCUUAUCUUCAGAAUCUUGGACACGUAUCGGGGUAAAGCAAGGACGAUAUUACUGAUUAGCUCCGUGCAAAGUUAAGCGGGUGGUGGUUAAAAGGGAACAACUUCAACCUAUGACUAGCUUCAAAAUCUUAAAUACGCACACGAUUAUGUGUUGGGGUACAUGUAAUACAUGGACAACUUCUUCAAGCGCCCUGACCUGUGACAUGAACGAACGUGUUGCAGGGUUAAAAGAGAACCAAGCGAAGACAUCCACCGACUAACUUCGUGACCUUGAAAACCCAAAUAGUUUGUUUACAGACAUUUGUUUAUGAUAGAGAUCUAUUUUAACAUACGAGAUGUUUCCCGGUGUAUUAUU
Molecule: long non-coding RNA, 416 nt
Filed under: Mytilus galloprovincialis (Mediterranean mussel)
Lineage: Eukaryota; Metazoa; Mollusca; Bivalvia; Mytilida; Mytilidae
Source: RNAcentral